Molecule: non-coding RNA, 45 nt
Organism: Schistosoma rodhaini
Lineage: Eukaryota; Metazoa; Platyhelminthes; Trematoda; Strigeidida; Schistosomatidae
Source: Rfam
ACUCAGCUGACAAGUCUCAAAUAAAACGAAACAUGCGUCCUGGAU